This 1198-nucleotide long non-coding RNA is filed under the name Struthio camelus australis. Its description in RNAcentral is "lncRNA (ENSSCUG00000013461.1)". The record is from RNAcentral. Lineage: Eukaryota; Metazoa; Chordata; Aves; Struthioniformes; Struthionidae.
AUUUAUUUAUAAAUGUGUUUACCAAUUAACAUAUAUGCAUUUAUUAUUUAUUUCUCUAUUUUUAUUUAAUUAGUUCUUCAUGUUUUCUAGUUUUCUGUUUCACUGAGAUGAACAUGCAUUAAAUCAAUACAUCACUUGAAUGAAAAAACAAACAUAUAUAACAGCUGUCAGAAACAGCAGGAGAGGAUUCCAUUGGCUCACCGUGGCUGAAACUAUUCCUGCUUUUUUUCUCUAGAUUUAAAGCUCUUCCCUUCUUGGGGUCUUACAAGCCAGGAAAGCUUUGGAGGAUGUACUGCUGCCUAAAUCAUUAUGGCUGCCAUACAGAAGUGGUUUGUAGCUGGUUUAGACUUGUGACAGUGAUCUUCCUAAUUUCAAGGCUGGGUUUUGGUGGUACACUCUAAAUAAAACUAGUGCCGAGAAAACAAGGACAGCAAUGAGCACGUGUUGUUCAGGUAAGACUGCUAUCCAGACGGUCUCAGUUGACUGUUUCUCUUCAAUUGAUGUUGUAGUGUGUUGCUCCAAGUCUUCAUAUUGUCAAUAACUGCUGAAAUGCUUCAGCUAAUCUUUGUCACUUAAUUUCAUAAUAUUUUGGUUUUGAAAUUAGUAACUGCUGUCUUUGAACUGCCCUUGAAACUUCUGCUAAUUUAUGUUCCAACAGCUUGUCUCUUAAAUCCGUUCUUUCUAAGCCUUUAGUGCAUCUGCCCUAUGUAUAUUGACUUCUAAUGAAAGGAAACUGUAAAUUUAAAAUUGUUCAGAACCAACUAUCUCUGCACAUCAUUUCUGUGCAUACGUCUCAUUAGGAAAAUGCAAUUAUCAAGUAAUAAUGUUAGUGUUAGGUUAAAUGACAACUACACAGACACUAAAAAUUGGCUAGCAGUUAGUUACUCAUUUUCCUUUGUAACAAGAAUGAAGUUUCAGUAAAGAAAAACAAAAUCAUUCAUGUUGUCUUUAAUGCCACAAAUAUGAUAAGCAGAACAUUCUGUACUGUAUGCUCUGCUAUUAAAUCCUAUAGUUAAAGCAAUUAUGCAAGUAGAAGAAUGCAAUUUUCUGUGAAUUUACUGUGAUAUAGAUGUAUCUCAAGUAGUAAGUAUGUAAUUCAUAGGAAUUGUCUUUUUUAUACAUCUAUUUUUUCCUCUCUUUAUCUGUUUUGUGUCAUUAACGCUACAUUGCAUCAUAAUUAAUCUCUAGAAAGAUAUGU